This 439-nucleotide ribosomal RNA is filed under the name uncultured bacterium. RNAcentral describes it as "partial 16S ribosomal RNA". It matches the Rfam family "Bacterial small subunit ribosomal RNA", at positions 339 to 795 of the family's 1533-position model. The record is from RNAcentral.
CUACGGGAGGCACCAGUGAGGAAUAUUGCACAAUGGGGGGAACCCUGAUGCAGCAACGCCGCGUGGAGGAUGACGCAUUUCGGUGUGUAAACUCCUUUUAUAUGUCAAGAAAAUGACGGUAGCAUAUGAAUAAGCACCGGCUAACUCCGUGCCAGCAGCCGCGGUAAUACGGAGGGUACAAGCGUUACUCGGAAUCAUUGGGCGUAAAGGACGCGUAGGCGGGUUGGAAAGUCAGGUGUGAAAUCCUACAGCUUAACUGUAGAACUGCACUUGAAACUUCUAAUCUAGAGUAUGGGAGGGGGAGAUGGAAUUAGUGGUGUAGGGGUAAAAUCCGUAGAUAUCACUAGGAAUACCUAAAGCGAAGGCGAUCUCCUGGAACAUUACUGACGCUAAGGCGUGAAAGCGUGGGGAGCAAACAGGAUUAGAUACCCUCGUAGUC